UUUUUUAAGAGGUAAGGCCUGCUCACUGAGAAUUUCAAGAGCCGCAGUAUACUGACUGUGCUAAGGUAGCAUAAUCAUUAGUUUCUUAAUUGGGAACUGGUAUGAAGGGCUAAACGAGAAAUCAGCUUUUUUUAUUAAACCCUGAUUAAAAUUUAACUUUUAGUGAAAAUGCUAAAAUUUUACAAAAAGACGAGAAGACCCCGUAGAGCUUUAUAAUUUUUCUAUGAGAAAAUGAACUAAAAAGUUUUUUCAUAAUUUUAAAAUUAUUUUGUUGGGGCGACAUUUAGAUAUAAAAAACUCUUUAUAAAUAACUCUUAUAUUUAAGUUUUAAAUUGAUCCUUUAAAAAAGAUUAUAAGAAAAAAUUACCUUGGGGAUAACAGCGUAAUCUUUUUUGAGAGUUCUAAUCGACAAAAAGGUUUGCGACCUCGAUGUUGGACUAAAAUUAGAGUAAGGCGCAGAAGUUUUACUUUCUAGGUCUGUUCGACCUUUAAUUUUUU
This 498-nucleotide ribosomal RNA is filed under the name Heteralepas sp. eL06i10_02. RNAcentral describes it as "partial 16S ribosomal RNA". It matches the Rfam family "Bacterial large subunit ribosomal RNA", at positions 1841 to 2597 of the family's 2925-position model. The record is from RNAcentral. Lineage: Eukaryota; Metazoa; Arthropoda; Thecostraca; Heteralepadidae.